GAAAUGAACGUUGGCGGGCGUGGAUUAGGCAUGCAAGUCGAGCGAGAACCCGCAAGGGGGACAGCGGCAAACGGGGUAGUAAUGUGUCGGAACGUGCCCUCUGGUCGGGGAUAGCGGCGGGAAACUGCCGGUAAUACCCGAUGAACUCGAGAGAGCAAAGGUGUGAUUCCGUCUGGGGAGCGGCUGAGGUCGUAUUAGCUGGUUGGUGAGGUAAUGGCUCACCAAGGCAAUGAUGCGUAGGGGGUGUGAGAGCAUGGCCCCCACCACUGGCACUGAGACACUGGCCAGACACCUACGGGUGGCUGCAGUCGAGAAUCUUCGGCAAUGGGCGCAAGCCUGACCGAGCGACGCCGCGUGCGGGAUGAAGGUCUUCGGAUUGUAAACCGCUGUCGGAGGGGAUGAAGUGCAGGGGGGUACUCCCCCCUGUUUGACAGAGCCUCGGAGGAAGCACGGGCUAAGUUCGUGCCAGCAGCCGCGGUAAUACGAACUGUGCGAACGUUAUUCGGAAUCACUGGGCUUAAAGGGUGCGUAGGCGGCGGCACAAGUCAGGUGUGAAAUCCCCCGGCUCAACCGGGGAACAGCGCUUGAAACUAGGUCGCUCGAGUGGGGCAGGGGUGUAUGGAACUUCCGGUGGAGCGGUGAAAUGUGUAGAUAUCGGAAGGAACGCCGGCGGCGAAAGCGGUACACUGGGCCUUGUCUGACGCUGAGGCACGAAAGCUAGGGGAGUGAACGGGAUUAGAUACCCCGGUAAUCCUAGCCGUAAACACUGAGCACUGGAGGAGAGGGGCUUCGGCCUUUCUCCUCGCAGCGAAAG
This 814-nucleotide ribosomal RNA is filed under the name uncultured bacterium. RNAcentral describes it as "bacterial SSU rRNA". It matches the Rfam family "Bacterial small subunit ribosomal RNA", at positions 26 to 857 of the family's 1533-position model. The record is from RNAcentral.